CAAUAGCGUAUAUUAAAGUUGUUGCAGUUAAAAAGCUCGUAGUUGGAUUUCUGGUGUGAGCGUCUUGCCGGCCCAAACGGGUCUGUGCAGGCACGCCUCUCGCCAUCCUUGCGUCUAACUUGUCUGGCAUUAAGUUGUCGGGCUUGGGAAGCGCAUCGUUUACUGUGAAAAAAUUAGAGUGUUCAAAGCAGGCUUACGCCGUUGAAUACAUUAGCAUGGAAUAAUAAGAUAGGACCUUGGUGCUAUUUUGUUGGUUUGCGUACCGAGGUAAUGAUUAAUAGGGACAGUUGGGGGUAUUUGUAUUCCAUUGUCAGAGGUGAAAUUCUUGGAUUUAUGGAAGACAAACUACUGCGAAAGCAUUUACCAAGGAUGUUUUCAUUAA
This 382-nucleotide ribosomal RNA is filed under the name uncultured eukaryote. Its description in RNAcentral is "partial 18S ribosomal RNA". It matches the Rfam family "Eukaryotic small subunit ribosomal RNA", at positions 592 to 976 of the family's 1831-position model. The record is from RNAcentral.